AUCCCAUUAUGCUGACACUUUCUCAUUAUCUCCUUGAAUCUUUCCCAAGCCUCAAAAACUGUUUCAGUGUCCUUCUGGCAGAAGUUGUGAAUCUCCCUUCUGAAUUU
This is a non-coding RNA of Nicotiana attenuata, 107 nucleotides long. Lineage: Eukaryota; Viridiplantae; Streptophyta; Magnoliopsida; Solanales; Solanaceae. The record is from Rfam.